This 253-nucleotide ribosomal RNA is filed under the name uncultured bacterium. Its description in RNAcentral is "partial 16S ribosomal RNA". It matches the Rfam family "Bacterial small subunit ribosomal RNA", at positions 524 to 776 of the family's 1533-position model. The record is from RNAcentral.
UACGGGGGGGGUAAGCGUUGUUCGGAAUUACUGGGCGUAAAGGGCUCGUAGGCGGCCAACUAAGUCAGACGUGAAAUCCCUCAGCUUAACUGGGGAACUGCGUCUGAUACUGGAUGGCUUGGAUUCGGGAGAGGAAUGCGGAAUUCCAGGUGUAGCGGUGAAAUGCGUAGAUAUCAGGAGGAACACCGAUGGCGAAGGCAGUGUUCUGGGCCAGUACUGACGCUGAGGAGCGAAAGCUAGGGGAGCAAACAGG